UACGGGGGGGGUAAGCGUUGUUCGGAAUUACUGGGCGUAAAGGGCUCGUAGGCGGCCAACUAAGUCAGACGUGAAAUCCCUCAGCUUAACUGGGGAACUGCGUCUGAUACUGGAUAGCUUGGAUCCGGGAGAGGGAUGCGGAAUUCCAGGUGUAGCGGUGAAAUGCGUAGAUAUCUGGAGGAACACCGGUGGCGAAGGCGGCAUCCUGGACCGGCAUUGACGCUGAGGCGCGAAAGCUAGGGGAGCAAACGGG
Molecule: ribosomal RNA, 253 nt
Filed under: uncultured bacterium
Lineage: Bacteria
Description: partial 16S ribosomal RNA
Rfam family: Bacterial small subunit ribosomal RNA
Source: RNAcentral